This 253-nucleotide ribosomal RNA is filed under the name uncultured bacterium. RNAcentral's name for it is "partial 16S ribosomal RNA". It matches the Rfam family "Bacterial small subunit ribosomal RNA", at positions 524 to 776 of the family's 1533-position model. The record is from RNAcentral.
UACGGGGGGGGCAAGCGUUGUUCGGAAUUACUGGGCGUAAAGGGCUCGUAGGCGGCCAACUAAGUCAGACGUGAAAUCCCUCGGCUUAACCGGGGAACUGCGUCUGAUACUGGAUGGCUAGAGUUUGGGAGAGGGAUGCGGAAUUCCAGGUGUAGCGGUGAAAUGCGUAGAUAUCGGGGGGAAUACCAGUGGCGAAAGCGGCACCCUGGCGUCGUACUGACGCACAUGUGCGAAAGCGUGGGGAGCGAACGGG